This 252-nucleotide ribosomal RNA is filed under the name uncultured bacterium. Its description in RNAcentral is "partial 16S ribosomal RNA". It matches the Rfam family "Bacterial small subunit ribosomal RNA", at positions 524 to 776 of the family's 1533-position model. The record is from RNAcentral.
UACGGGGGGGCAAGCGUUGUUCGGAAUUACUGGGCGUAAAGGGCUCGUAGGUGGCCAACUAAGUCAGACGUGAAAUCCCCGGGCUUAACCUGGGAACUGCAUUUGUGACUGCAUCGCUGGAGUGCGGCAGAGGGGGAUGGAAUUCCGCGUGUAGCAGUGAAAUGCGUAGAUAUGCGGAGGAACACCGAUGGCGAAGGCAAUCCCCUGGGCCUGCACUGACGCUCAUGCACGAAAGCGUGGGGAGCAAACAGG